GACGAACGCUGGCGGCGUGCUUAACACAUGCAAGUCGAACGGUGAAGCGCCUUCCUUUUUGGUGGGUGUGGAUGAGUGGCGAACGGGUGAGUAACACGUGAGUAACCUGCCCCCUUCUUCUGGAUAACCGCAUGAAAGUGUGGCUAAUACGGGAUAUUCUGGGUCUGUCGCAUGAUGGGUCUGUGAAAGAUAUUGUUUCGGUGGGGGAUGGGCUCGCGGCCUAUCAGCUUGUUGGUGGGGUGAUGGCCUACCAAGGCGGUGACGGGUAGCCGGCCUGAGAGGGUGGACGGUCACACUGGGACUGAGACACGGCCCAGACUCCUACGGGAGGCAGCAGUGGGGAAUAGUGCACAAUGGGCGCAAGCCUGAUGCAGCGACGCCGCGUGAGGGAUGGAGGCCUUCGGGUUGUGAACCUCUUUCGCCAGUGAAGCAGGCCUGCCUCGUUUGUGGGUGGGUUGACGGUAGCUGGAGAAGAAGCGCCGGCUAACUACGUG
Molecule: ribosomal RNA, 494 nt
Filed under: uncultured bacterium
Lineage: Bacteria
Description: partial 16S ribosomal RNA
Rfam family: Bacterial small subunit ribosomal RNA
Source: RNAcentral